Molecule: ribosomal RNA, 411 nt
Filed under: Parahaplosyllis kumpol
Lineage: Eukaryota; Metazoa; Annelida; Polychaeta; Phyllodocida; Syllidae
Description: partial 16S large subunit ribosomal RNA
Rfam family: Bacterial large subunit ribosomal RNA
Source: RNAcentral
GUGCUAAGGUAGCAAAAUAAUUUGUUCUUUAAUUAAGGAAUAGAAUGAAAGAAAUAUCAAUAAGAAUGCUGUCUCCCUAAAAAAAUAAAAAUUUACCUAGAGGUGAAAAGGCCCCUAUUAAAAUAAAAGACAAAAAGACCCUAAAAGCUUUUAAUUAUUAAUACUUACUAUAAUUAAUAUUAUUUAGCUGGGAUGGCGGGGGGCAUAACACCCCUUAUAUAAAAGAGUAUUCAAUAUAAUAACCAUUCAUAAUAAAAAAAGUAAGCUACUUUAGGGGUAACAGGCUAUUAUUCUUCAAGAGUACACAUUGACAAGAAUGUUUGGCACCUCGAUGUUGGCUUAGGGCAAGAAUUUUAAGCAAAAAUAAAUUUUCUUGUUUUGUUCAACCUUCAAACCCCUACAUGAUCUGAG